RNAcentral lists this ribosomal RNA (339 nucleotides) under uncultured Synechococcus sp. RNAcentral describes it as "bacterial SSU rRNA". It matches the Rfam family "Bacterial small subunit ribosomal RNA", at positions 394 to 751 of the family's 1533-position model. The record is from RNAcentral. Lineage: Bacteria; Bacillati; Cyanobacteriota; Cyanophyceae; Synechococcales; Synechococcaceae.
ACGCCGCGUGAGGGUGAGGCCUCUGGGCUGUAAACCUCUUUUAUCAAGGAAGAAGAUAGACGGAACUUGAUGAAUAAGCCACGGCUAAUUCCGUGCCAGCAGCCGCGGUAAUACGGGAGUGGCAAGCGUUAUCCGGAAUUAUUGGGCGUAAAGCGUCCGCAGGCGGUCUGUCAAGUCUGCUGUUAAAGCGUGGAGCUUAACUCCAUUUCGGCAGUGGAAACUGACAGACUAGAGUGUGGUAGGGGCAGAGGGAAUUCCCGGUGUAGCGGUGAAAUGCGUAGAUAUCGGGAAGAACACCAGUGGCGAAGGCACUCUGCUGGGCCAUAACUGACGCUCAUG